AUUGUAGCUGAAAAAAUUCAUUUUUUGACACAUUGUUUUCUUUAGCAACCAUACUUCUUAUUUUGUAGUUGUGUUGUUUCUUUGAAUAAUAUUGAUUACUUUAUUUAGCUUCUCUACAAUAUAAGCAUAAACCCUCUUGAUGUAGUUAAGUCUUUUUCUACUAUGUAAAAAAUUUAAAAUAUAUCGUUAAAUUUGUAUUGAUUAUAGGAUUGAUGAAUAAGUUUUUGAUAACUUAAAAGGUGCUAUCAUUAUUUGAUUUGUUCCUCUCUACCUAAGUCUCUAUUCUUAAUGUCUUUAAAAUAAUUGAUUGUUACAUGUAAUGGUUUAAAUAAUAAAUUCUUUCAAAGAUCCUACUUUUGGCAUUGUGAACAAUAAAUAUUUAAUAUUAUUCUU
RNAcentral lists this long non-coding RNA (393 nucleotides) under Physcomitrium patens. RNAcentral describes it as "long non-coding RNA (PPAT_LNC008899)". Lineage: Eukaryota; Viridiplantae; Streptophyta; Bryopsida; Funariales; Funariaceae. The record is from RNAcentral.